UAAACGACUCUCGGCAACGGAUAUCUCGGCUCUCGCAUCGAUGAAGAACGUAGCGAAAUGCGAUACUUGGUGUGAAUUGCAGAAUCCCGUGAACCAUCGAGUCUUUGAACGCAAGUUGCGCCCGAAGCCUUGGCUGAGGGCACGCCUGCCUGGGUGUCACACGU
Molecule: ribosomal RNA, 164 nt
Filed under: Combretum caffrum
Lineage: Eukaryota; Viridiplantae; Streptophyta; Magnoliopsida; Myrtales; Combretaceae
Also listed under: 5 other names
Description: 5.8S ribosomal RNA
Rfam family: 5.8S ribosomal RNA
About the family: 5.8S ribosomal RNA (5.8S rRNA) is a component of the large subunit of the eukaryotic ribosome. It is transcribed by RNA polymerase I as part of the 45S precursor that also contains 18S and 28S rRNA.
Source: RNAcentral